Molecule: long non-coding RNA, 1096 nt
Filed under: Nicotiana benthamiana
Lineage: Eukaryota; Viridiplantae; Streptophyta; Magnoliopsida; Solanales; Solanaceae
Description: long non-coding RNA (NBEN_LNC029260)
Source: RNAcentral
UGACAAUCAUCCUUCUGUGCUCCCCAUAUGGCCCUCUCUAUCUCAGUUCUAUGAAUUAGAUUUUUCCUGUAGAGUAAUUCAAGCAAACUGUUAAUUUCGUCCAUUUCUUAAUCUUAUUUGCUAGCUGGAGAUGCUGGAAAUGGAUCAAAGGCUUCACCAUGAACUAAUUAUCGUACUUUCACAUAAGAUAUUCUCUUCUUUGUUUUUAUAAUGGUGGUGUAUGGGCCAGAUUACGCGCAACUCGACUAUUCCAGUGUUACCUGCUACCUCCCCCAGCACAAGCACCAGUUAAUUCUGCCCACCAAAGGUUUAGGCAUAAGCUAAUAGUAGCUUAUGCUUUCAUAUUCUUUUGUUUUCCUAAUAUUGAAAAACAUGAAGAAAUUGCUUACUCUAAUCUGUUAAAGCCAAAAAAUGCUAGUUCAAAUAGAACCUAUAAAGUGCGGUUGAGACAAAUAGUGUCACCUCAUUUCCAUUGUACAAUUCAACAAAACAACAUAUUGCACGUAUCAGAUCAAUUAAUUCAAUUACAUUAUAAACAACACAAGCUACACAUAAGAUAGCAACAGUCAACUGAUAAUCAGUAGUAGUUUGACUGAGAUUGACUUACACGAAAAUACUCCAUAGUAUUAUGGAAGCAAAGAGGAAUCCAAAUAGAAACUUCGCCGGUGAAGCAUCCAUUUCGCCGCGGCCGGCGGCAAUCCCAAUCGCGUGGAUCUUCUUGAAUUCCGCGUCUCACUGUUCUAUCAUUGCUUAAAUAAUUGAAUUACUGCACUAAAAAAUAGUUAAUUACAGUUUCACAUGAUGUUCAUGGUGUGGAAGUGAAGAUCAAAUGGUGAAUUUUGAAAGAGAAGAAGAUUUGAAUUUGCAGAGGAAAAAGGAAAUGGAGAAGAAGGAGGUGAAAAUGGUCAAUAAGUUGAAACGAAGUGAAUGGGUUUGAUCAAGGGAAUAAUAAGAUAUUUGAGUUAAAGGAAUUAAGAGGAGAAAUCGGGAGAAGGUGGUGUAUCACUCUUUCUGUGUUUUACUCCGAGAAGCGGAGAAGACUAUUGAGUUGGAUCUGGUGCGGUCGGACGUACGGGGAACCUUUGUGAUUUUGUUU